This is a small nucleolar RNA of Suncus etruscus (white-toothed pygmy shrew), 214 nucleotides long. RefSeq annotates it as small nucleolar RNA U3. Lineage: Eukaryota; Metazoa; Chordata; Mammalia; Eulipotyphla; Soricidae. The record is from RefSeq and is a predicted model, not a curated record. The transcript has a single exon.
AAGACUAUACUUUCAGGGAUCAUUUCUAUAGUAUGUGACUGGAGAAGUUUCUCUGAUCGUGUAGAGCACCCAAAGUCAUGAGGAGGAGCCAGAGCAUCCUCUCCUGAGUGUGAAGCUGGCUCUAUGUGUUACUUCUGCAAUUGCCUUUUGUCAAUUAUGAUCCUUUUACUCUUUCUUUGGAAGGGUUAGAGGGAGAAGAUGCAGUCUGAAUGGU